UCCAGUAUAUCACUGGCAGUCUCAUUAGAGUGCCCUUUCGUAGCAACUAAUGACAAGGGUUGCGCUCGUUGCGGGACUUAACCCAACAUCUCACGACACGAGCUGACGACAGCCAUGCAGCACCUGUGUUCUGGCUCCCUUUCGGGCACUUCCACAUCUCUGCGGAAUUCCGUACAAGUCAAGGGUAGGUAAGGUUUUUCGCGUUGCAUCGAAUUAAUCCACAUAAUCCACCGCUUGUGCGGGUCCCCGUCAAUUCCUUUGAGUUUUAACCUUGCGGCCGUACUCCCCAGGCGGUCAACUUCACGCGUUAGCUUCGUUACCAAGGGAAUCAAUCCCCCGACAACCAGUUGACAUAGUUUAGGGCGUGGACUAC
RNAcentral lists this unclassified non-coding RNA (373 nucleotides) under uncultured Gammaproteobacteria bacterium. Its description in RNAcentral is "contains 16S-23S intergenic spacer region". The record is from RNAcentral. Lineage: Bacteria; Pseudomonadati; Pseudomonadota; Gammaproteobacteria.